Molecule: small nucleolar RNA, 106 nt
Organism: Oryctolagus cuniculus (rabbit)
Lineage: Eukaryota; Metazoa; Chordata; Mammalia; Lagomorpha; Leporidae
Source: Ensembl
AUCCUUUUUGUGGUUCAUAAGUGUGGUGAUUGAAUGUACACACAUCUUUGUGAAAUGUGCCUCUCUGUAAACCUCGUUAUGACAUUGGCACAAUACCUGUCUGAAG